This 710-nucleotide ribosomal RNA is filed under the name Escherichia coli. RNAcentral describes it as "partial 23S ribosomal RNA". It matches the Rfam family "Bacterial large subunit ribosomal RNA", at positions 2233 to 2925 of the family's 2925-position model. The record is from RNAcentral. Lineage: Bacteria; Pseudomonadati; Pseudomonadota; Gammaproteobacteria; Enterobacterales; Enterobacteriaceae.
CCGUAAUCCGGGUUGCGGACAGUGUCUGGUGGGUAGUUUGACUGGGGCGGUCUCCUCCUAAAGAGUAACGGAGGAGCACGAAGGUUGGCUAAUCCUGGUCGGACAUCAGGAGGUUAGUGCAAUGGCAUAAGCCAGCUUGACUGCGAGCGUGACGGCGCGAGCAGGUGCGAAAGCAGGUCAUAGUGAUCCGGUGGUUCUGAAUGGAAGGGCCAUCGCUCAACGGAUAAAAGGUACUCCGGGGAUAACAGGCUGAUACCGCCCAAGAGUUCAUAUCGACGGCGGUGUUUGGCACCUCGAUGUCGGCUCAUCACAUCCUGGGGCUGAAGUAGGUCCCAAGGGUAUGGCUGUUCGCCAUUUAAAGUGGUACGCGAGCUGGGUUUAGAACGUCGUGAGACAGUUCGGUCCCUAUCUGCCGUGGGCGCUGGAGAAUUGAGGGGGGCUGCUCCUAGUACGAGAGGACCGGAGUGGACGCAUCACUGGUGUUCGGGUUGUCAUGCCAAUGGCACUGCCCGGUAGCUAAAUGCGGAAGAGAUAAGUGCUGAAAGCAUCUAAGCACGAAACUUGCCCCGAGAUGAGUUCUCCCUGACUCCUUGAGAGUCCUGAAGGAACGUUGAAGACGACGACGUUGAUAGGCCGGGUGUGUAAGCGCAGCGAUGCGUUGAGCUAACCGGUACUAAUGAACCGUGAGGCUUAACCUUACAACGCCGAAG